Molecule: ribosomal RNA, 135 nt
Filed under: uncultured bacterium
Lineage: Bacteria
Description: partial 16S ribosomal RNA
Rfam family: Bacterial small subunit ribosomal RNA
Source: RNAcentral
UAGGGAAUAUUAGAAAUGGACGAAAGUCUGAUCUAGCAACACCGCGUGUGCGAAGAAGGCCGUCGGGUCGUAAAGCACUUUUUGGAAGGAAUAGGAAGGAAUGUACUUCCAGAAUAAGUCUCGGCUAACUACGUG